RNAcentral lists this unclassified non-coding RNA (573 nucleotides) under Hevea brasiliensis (rubber tree). Lineage: Eukaryota; Viridiplantae; Streptophyta; Magnoliopsida; Malpighiales; Euphorbiaceae. The record is from RNAcentral.
AAUUGGAUGGACAGAAUACAACUGUGAGUACAAUAUAGUGUUUCUUUUAUUUUAUAUUUGUAGACUUGAUUUGUGUAUUGAUUCAUACUUCAUGAAGUCAGACAAAGAACUAGAGUCUCUUCCUUGCUUCUUCUUCUUCUUUUGUGUAUUUGAUUCAUACUUCAUGGAGUCAGACAAAGAACUAGUGUCUCUUCCUUGCUUAAUAUUUGUGCAUUCAACUCUUUGGGUUCUUCAAAGUGUUCUUCUGUGUUUUAAUGUUUUCAUAUUUUUGGAUUUGCGAAAACUCGAUAACUGAUUGGUUGUAUUUGGAUUUCACAGUAGUUGACCAUAGUUUACAUUUUCAAAGUUGCUGAGUUGCAGAUUCUUUUACAAUUGUAUGGCAGAUGUAUAUUGUUUUGUUUUCUCAGUAUUCUUAAUUAUCCCAAUUUACACGUAAUACCUUUUUUUGUCACCCUUUCCGUUCUUCCGCACUCUGGCAUAACUUCUUAAUUAUCUUCUUUAUUGUCGCACAUAACUUUAUUUCUGAGUUCCCUCACCCCUUCUUUUCCCUUCUUCCUGUUUGUUUUAAUGACA